RNAcentral lists this ribosomal RNA (846 nucleotides) under Lactiplantibacillus plantarum. RNAcentral describes it as "bacterial SSU rRNA". It matches the Rfam family "Bacterial small subunit ribosomal RNA", at positions 71 to 891 of the family's 1533-position model. Lineage: Bacteria; Bacillati; Bacillota; Bacilli; Lactobacillales; Lactobacillaceae. The record is from RNAcentral.
GAUUGGUGCUUGCAUCAUGAUUUACAUUUGAGUGAGUGGCGAACUGGUGAGUAACACGUGGGAAACCUGCCCAGAAGCGGGGGAUAACACCUGGAAACAGAUGCUAAUACCGCAUAACAACUUGGACCGCAUGGUCCGAGUUUGAAAGAUGGCUUCGGCUAUCACUUUUGGAUGGUCCCGCGGCGUAUUAGCUAGAUGGUGGGGUAACGGCUCACCAUGGCAAUGAUACGUAGCCGACCUGAGAGGGUAAUCGGCCACAUUGGGACUGAGACACGGCCCAAACUCCUACGGGAGGCAGCAGUAGGGAAUCUUCCACAAUGGACGAAAGUCUGAUGGAGCAACGCCGCGUGAGUGAAGAAGGGUUUCGGCUCGUAAAACUCUGUUGUUAAAGAAGAACAUAUCUGAGAGUAACUGUUCAGGUAUUGACGGUAUUUAACCAGAAAGCCACGGCUAACUACGUGCCAGCAGCCGCGGUAAUACGUAGGUGGCAAGCGUUGUCCGGAUUUAUUGGGCGUAAAGCGAGCGCAGGCGGUUUUUUAAGUCUGAUGUGAAAGCCUUCGGCUCAACCGAAGAAGUGCAUCGGAAACUGGGAAACUUGAGUGCAGAAGAGGACAGUGGAACUCCAUGUGUAGCGGUGAAAUGCGUAGAUAUAUGGAAGAACACCAGUGGCGAAGGCGGCUGUCUGGUCUGUAACUGACGCUGAGGCUCGAAAGUAUGGGUAGCAAACAGGAUUAGAUACCCUGGUAGUCCAUACCGUAAACGAUGAAUGCUAAGUGUUGGAGGGUUUCCGCCCUUCAGUGCUGCAGCUAACGCAUUAAGCAUUCCGCCUGGGGAGUACGGCCGCAA